This is a non-coding RNA of Cinara cedri, 262 nucleotides long. Lineage: Eukaryota; Metazoa; Arthropoda; Insecta; Hemiptera; Aphididae. The record is from the annotation of a GenBank genome assembly.
GUUCAAUUAACUAUGGACGUGAAUGUACGUUUUUUCUAAACAUUGAGUAACACUCGCAUUAAUAACCAUUUGCGUCUCGCGCAGACACUACGUAACUCGUAAAUACCAAGAGAUCGCCUAUACACGACUACUAUAAAACGGUCGGUAUCCAAUCCUUUCAACACUUACGUAUUUUUGGUUGAAAACAACUCAUUCUUAUAUCGAUCAGAACACGAGAUUAGAAAUUACUUAUAUAUUGCUCCUUUGAAAAUGUAGAGGACCG